RNAcentral lists this ribosomal RNA (253 nucleotides) under uncultured bacterium. RNAcentral's name for it is "partial 16S ribosomal RNA". It matches the Rfam family "Bacterial small subunit ribosomal RNA", at positions 524 to 776 of the family's 1533-position model. The record is from RNAcentral.
UACGUAGGUGGCGAGCGUUGUCCGGAUUUACUGGGUGUAAAGGGCGUGUAGGCGGGUUAUUAAGUCAGAUGUGAAAUUCCGGGGCUCAACCCCGGCGCUGCAUCUGAAACUGGUAAUCUUGAGUGCCGGAGAGGAAAGCGGAAUUCCUAGUGUAGCGGUGAAAUGCGUAGAUAUUAGGAGGAACACCAGUGGCGAAGGCGGCUUUCUGGACAGUAACUGACGGUGAGGCGCGAAAGCGUGGGGAGCAAACAGG